This 376-nucleotide ribosomal RNA is filed under the name uncultured Enterobacter sp. RNAcentral describes it as "bacterial SSU rRNA". It matches the Rfam family "Bacterial small subunit ribosomal RNA", at positions 38 to 412 of the family's 1533-position model. The record is from RNAcentral. Lineage: Bacteria; Pseudomonadati; Pseudomonadota; Gammaproteobacteria; Enterobacterales; Enterobacteriaceae.
GGCGGCAGGCCUAACACAUGCAAGUCGAGCGGUAGCACAGAGAGCUUGCUCUCGGGUGACGAGCGGCGGACGGGUGAGUAAUGUCUGGGAAACUGCCUGAUGGAGGGGGAUAACUACUGGAAACGGUAGCUAAUACCGCAUAACGUCGCAAGCCCAAAGAGGGGACCUUCGGGCCUCUUGCCAUCAGAUGUGCCCAGAUGGGAUUAGCUGAGUAGGUGGGGUAACGGCUCACCUAGGCGACGAUCCCUAGCUGGUCUGAGAGGAUGACCAGCCACACUGGAACUGAGACACGGUCCACACUCCUACGGGAGGCAGCAGUGGGGAAUAUUGCACAAUGGGCGCAAGCCUGAUGCAGCCAUGCCGCGUGUAUGAAGAA